RNAcentral lists this ribosomal RNA (464 nucleotides) under Vreelandella stevensii. RNAcentral's name for it is "partial 16S ribosomal RNA". It matches the Rfam family "Bacterial small subunit ribosomal RNA", at positions 338 to 795 of the family's 1533-position model. The record is from RNAcentral. Lineage: Bacteria; Pseudomonadati; Pseudomonadota; Gammaproteobacteria; Oceanospirillales; Halomonadaceae.
CCUACGGUAUCAGCAGUGGGGAAUAUUGGACAAUGGGCGAAAGCCUGAUCCAGCCAUGCCGCGUGUGUGAAGAAGGCCUUCGGGUUGUAAAGCACUUUCAGUGGGGAAGAAAGCCUUGGGGCUAAUACCCUCGAGGAAGGACAUCACCCACAGAAGAAGCACCGGCUAACUCCGUGCCAGCAGCCGCGGUAAUACGGAGGGUGCGAGCGUUAAUCGGAAUUACUGGGCGUAAAGCGCGCGUAGGCGGUCUGAUAAGCCGGUUGUGAAAGCCCCGGGCUCAACCUGGGAACGGCAUCCGGAACUGUCAGGCUAGAGUGCAGGAGAGGAAGGUAGAAUUCCCGGUGUAGCGGUGAAAUGCGUAGAGAUCGGGAGGAAUACCAGUGGCGAAGGCGGCCUUCUGGACUGACACUGACGCUGAGGUGCGAAAGCGUGGGUAGCAAACAGGAUUAGAUACCCGUGUAGUC